GAGGGUAGAGCUCAGUGGUAGAGUGUGUGCUUAGCAUGCACAAGGUCCUGGGUUCAAUCCCCAGUACCUUCA
Molecule: transfer RNA, 72 nt
Filed under: Camelus bactrianus (Bactrian camel)
Lineage: Eukaryota; Metazoa; Chordata; Mammalia; Artiodactyla; Camelidae
Also listed under: 2 other names
Rfam family: tRNA
About the family: Transfer RNA (tRNA) molecules are approximately 80 nucleotides in length.
Source: Rfam by way of RNAcentral